RNAcentral lists this ribosomal RNA (460 nucleotides) under uncultured bacterium. RNAcentral's name for it is "partial 16S ribosomal RNA". It matches the Rfam family "Bacterial small subunit ribosomal RNA", at positions 338 to 795 of the family's 1533-position model. The record is from RNAcentral.
CCUACGGGUGGCAGCAGUGAGGAAUAUUGGUCAAUGGACGAGAGUCUGAACCAGCCAAGUCGCGUGAAGGAUGACUGCCCUAUGGGUUGUAAACUUCUUUUAUAAAGGAAUAAAACGAGGCACGUGUGCCUUUUUGCAUGUACUUUAUGAAUAAGGAUCGGCUAACUCCGUGCCAGCAGCCGCGGUAAUACGGAGGAUCCAAGCGUUAUCCGGAUUUAUUGGGUUUAAAGGGAGCGUAGAUGGGUUGUUAAGUCAGUUGUGAAAGUCUGCGGCUCAACCGUAAAAUUGCAAUUGAUACUGGCAGUCUUGAGUACAGUUGAGGUAGGCGGAAUGCGUGGUGUAGCGGUGAAAUGCUUAGAUAUCACGAAGAACCCCGAUUGCGAAGGCAGCUUACUAAACUGUGACUGACAUUGAUGCGCGAAAGUGUGGGUAGCAAACAGGAUUAGAUACCCUUGUAGUC